UUUUGCAGAUGCUUAUUGAACACUUUCUUGGAGUCAAGAGUGUGGUGCUCUUUGAGUGUAUUGUGUUAUUAACCCUCAUGCCAUUCCCAUGACACCUGUGCAUAGGAGGAAUCUGGGACCCAGAGAGGUGGGACGGGAUAGGCAGGGUCUGAUGAGCAGCUGUGGGUGGUCCUGGUGGGAGCUAAGGAGCAGGCAGCCUGAGGCCAGGGCCCAUUCCCAAUCACAUGUUGUACUGAGCCAGCCACCACGUUAGAUUUUAGAGUCUCCUGGAGCACGUGAAAACAACUGAAAAAGGGUAACCACACAUCAUUUCACUUGUGAUGUAGCUUGCCUGUCUCCACACCAUGCCCCUGAAGAAUAGUAUAUCACCUACAGCCCCUUCCCCAGUCAGGAAUGGAAGUGCAUGACACAUGUGCUCCUCUACCCCUUCCAUGCUCAUGGCAGACAUCAUUAAUCAAUUAUAGCACUCUUUCUGUAGAGCCAGAGACAGCAUCACACUCUUUCCCCUCCUGCAUUCCAGGCCACCACUACCAACUGAAAUCGUGUUAGUACCAUAAUGAAUGCUAUGUACCAUUCUCUACCCUAAGCGAUUGCAAACUGUAAAUGAAUUGUUGCUGAUUUCUGAGCCCCUCCUAGAUUUGGGGUAAAUUCAUUUCUUGUUUUCAGAACACAGGGGAUAGGGACACCCUGUGCAGUUCUUUCUCCAGGACAAGGAGACUCCCCACUGGGGGAUGGGGCGGGGUUUCUGCCUUAAUUUGGGCGCUCAUAGUUUCAAGGAGGAGCUCUUUCUGGCUUUGGCCAGCUAGAAGGAAAGGUGCCCUGUUUGUUAACUUUAAAAUCACUACGGGUGUAGUGUAUGGAGUGGGCUGUGCCAUGCUGGAGUUCAGAGCAAAGGUUCUUCAGGUUUUCUUGCGAAGGACCUUAACUUGUCAAUGGCAGAGCCACACCCCCGGGACAUACUUGGCAGAGGAAUGCCUCUUCAGGCACAUAAACAUUUUUGCAUACUCCAUGUUAGUCAAUAAACCGUUUCAUAAGGGUUCUUUGAGGACAUCUGACUUCAAAGGGAAAAAAUUCAUAAUUCAGACAGGCUCUCGGGGCUUCACCAUACAACGCCUUUCUUGUAUUUGGUUAGUUUUAUGGGCCUGGAGUGUUGACCAUGUAUUAAUUUUCUCUAUAAAAAUCAGAACCGCUCUGGGCAGACCCAGAAUUUAUAGUAUCUGUGGCAGUCUGGCAGAGAGUAGGGACCCUCAGCCAUGAGUCCUCGCCUCACUUGUAACGAGUACCCCCUAAGUGAUCCCAGGUGUCUGGGGAUGCUUUAACGCACCCAGAUCCCACCUUGCUCUUGGCGCCUCCUAAUUACACACCAUGAGCGGCGGCGGCAGAGGAGAACUGCUGGGAGGACCGAGGAGGAUCCGCCUCUCGUGUAGAAGAACAGACUGUAUUAAACAGUGAUUAUGGCCAUGCCAGGCACAGGAAGACCUGACCUCAUGGAAUCCUAACAACACAGGCGGUGGGCGAGAGAGAGCUUUGACAUUUACUCACUGAAUGCGCCCUGAUGCUUAAUGAGUGGCACGGGUCAGCAGCACCGUUGUGGAGCUGGGGCUCUCAGCUGGUGUGGGGGGGGGGUCAUGUCUCUGGCUAAGGAGCGUACCUAGCCUGCCUAAGCCAUGAGCCUGUUGGGGUGGCAUGAACAGUGACUGCUCUUCACCCCAAAUGCAGUGUUUCUCCUUAAGGAGGCACUCAGACAUUUAGGAAACGGGGGGAACGUAGCCACGGUGCUGUUCUGGGAUUUGGGGGCUCCCCCAUUCUGGGUGCAUCUCUUGCAAAUAUGUUAUGUGCUCCCUUUCACGGAUGAGCAAACUGAAGCUUUGAGAGUCUCAAAGAAUGUUCUUUACUAGACUGAAAUAAAAACUAGAAACAAAAAAA
RNAcentral lists this long non-coding RNA (1926 nucleotides) under Homo sapiens (human). Its description in RNAcentral is "uncharacterized LOC100129617 (LOC100129617)". Lineage: Eukaryota; Metazoa; Chordata; Mammalia; Primates; Hominidae. The record is from RNAcentral.